UACGAAGGGGCUAGCGUUGCUCGGAAUGACUGGCGUAAGGCGCGUAGGCGGAUGGCUUGUCGGCGUGAAUUCCAGGCUCAACCUUGGCUGCGUUCGAGACGGCGAUCUUGAGUUCGGAAGAGGUCGUGAAUCCAGUGUAGAGUGAAUCGUAGAUAUUGGAGACACAGUGCGAGCGACUACUGACACAUAUGACGCUGAUGCGAAGCGUGAGCAC
Molecule: ribosomal RNA, 214 nt
Filed under: uncultured bacterium
Lineage: Bacteria
Description: partial 16S ribosomal RNA
Rfam family: Bacterial small subunit ribosomal RNA
Source: RNAcentral